GAUGAACGCUGGCGGCGUGCCUAACACAUGCAAGUCGAGCGGCAGCGCGAGUAGUUUACUACUUGGCGGCGAGCGGCGAACGGCUGAGUAACGCGUGGGAAUUUGCCCCAAAGUGAGGAAUAACUGCCCGAAAGGGUGGCUAAUGCCGCAUAUGAUCUUCGGAUUAAAGGAUUUAUCCGCUUUGGGAGAAGCCCGCGUCGGAUUAGGUAGUUGGUGAGGCAAUGGCUCACCAAGCCGACGAUCCGUAGCUGGUCUGAGAGGAUGACCAGCCAGACUGGAACUGAGACACGGUCCAGACUCCUACGGGAGGCAGCAGUGAGGAAUCUUCCACAAUGGGCGAAAGCCUGAUGGAGCAACGCCGCGUGCAGGAUGAAGGCCUUCGGGUUGUAAACUGCUUUUAUGAUUGAGGAAUUUGACAGUAGAUCAUGAAUAAGGAUCGGCUAACUACGUGCCAGCAGCCGCGGUCAUACGUAGGAUCCGAGCGUUAUCCGGAGUGACUGGGCGUAAAGAGUUGCGUAGGCGGUUUGUUAAGUGAAUAGUGAAAUCUGGUGGCUCAACCAUACAGGCUAUUAUUCAAACUGGCAAACUCGAGAGUGGUAGAGGUCACUGGAAUUUCUUGUGUAGGAGUGAAAUCCGUAGAUAUAAGAAGGAACACCGAUGGCGUAGGCAGGUGACUGGACCAUUUCUGACGCUAAGGCACGAAAGCGUGGGGAGCGAACCGG
RNAcentral lists this ribosomal RNA (722 nucleotides) under uncultured Candidatus Saccharibacteria bacterium. Its description in RNAcentral is "bacterial SSU rRNA". It matches the Rfam family "Bacterial small subunit ribosomal RNA", at positions 28 to 776 of the family's 1533-position model. The record is from RNAcentral. Lineage: Bacteria; Candidatus Saccharimonadota.